AAGAUGUGGACUGAAGCCUGGACUGGCUGGUAUACUGAAUUUGGUGGUGCAGUUCCUUACAGACCAGCUGAAGACUUGGCGUUUUCAGUUGCAAGGUUUAUACAGAAGGGAGGAUCAUUCAUAAAUUACUAUAUGUAUCAUGGGGGAACAAAUUUUGGAAGAACUGCUGGUGGUCCUUUCAUUGCCACAAGUUAUGAUUAUGAUGCUCCAAUUGAUGAAUAUGGACUACUGAGGCAGCCUAAAUGGGGCCAUUUAAAGGAUUUGCAUAGAGCAAUUAAGUUGUGUGAACCGGCUUUGGUAUCAGGGGAUCCAGCUGUGAUACCACUCGGAAAUUAUCAAGAGGCUCAUGUAUUUAAAUCUACAUCUGGAGCUUGUGCUGCAUUCCUUGCAAAUUACAAUCAG
RNAcentral lists this unclassified non-coding RNA (402 nucleotides) under Hevea brasiliensis (rubber tree). The record is from RNAcentral. Lineage: Eukaryota; Viridiplantae; Streptophyta; Magnoliopsida; Malpighiales; Euphorbiaceae.